GUGCUUGCUUUGGCGGCACAUAUACUAAAAUUGGAGUGAUACAGAGAAGAUUAGCAUGCCCCUGAGCAAGAAUGACAUGCAAAUUCAUGAAGCAUUGCAUAUUUUU
Nycticebus coucang (slow loris) is the source of this 106-nucleotide small nuclear RNA. Lineage: Eukaryota; Metazoa; Chordata; Mammalia; Primates; Lorisidae. The record is from RefSeq and is a predicted model, not a curated record.